This is a long non-coding RNA of Marmota monax (woodchuck), 2396 nucleotides long. RefSeq lists it as uncharacterized. The record is from RefSeq and is a predicted model, not a curated record. NCBI's taxonomy places the organism in Eukaryota, Metazoa, Chordata, Mammalia, Rodentia, Sciuridae. The transcript is spliced from 2 exons.
UUGGGGGCGGGGCUUGGGUGUCUGUGUCCCGCGUUCCGGCGCUUCCGCCUGGUGCGCGGGACGAGUUUGUCGCCGGAGCUGGACGCCUGGUCCCGGUGGCAGCCCAGGUCCGCCGGGGACGCAGAAGGGAAUGUUCUCGUUUAACAGUGGUCUUGUUUCUGUGUCACUUUGUAAUGAAAGUUGGAAGGUCAUUUCCUUGCCUUUAAAUGUGUCUCCUGCCUCUGCUUUUAGGUGAUGCCACUUAGGACGUCUGCCGGCGGCUGUCGCCGUCAUACACAGACACCUUGGGUGUUUCUCUGAGGGUCUGGAGGGACUGCUCAUGUAAAAAUGCUGGUUUAGACUUUUUUUUUCUUUUUUCCGUUGCGCCGCGGAAGGCGGCUUGGGUGGACAGUCCUGCAGGAGUCUGUCCUCCUCCACUCCAGCAGGACGCGAAGGGCAUGUCCCCCGACUCAGGAGCACCCCCCGCACUUACCAGUGACAAAGGGGAAAAGAAAUGUUGUGGUGGCCCCCCGUCACCCAGGGGGCAAAGUUAACAUCGCUAAUAAUGACAGCGACAUCACAGACCUGCUGGGACAUGCUGAGGGGGCACGGCACCCCGUGGGACUCCUGCUAAAAUCGCGUGCUUACCACUGGACAGAUGUGAAUCAAAGGACAUUCUACAAAAUAACUGACAGGCUCCAGGAGUGUGUCACAUAACAGAGAGAAACCAUCACAGAAUGAGACCUAACAAAAGGGGACACACUGCAGGAUCCUUGUGGGAGGGACACAGGAGGAAGAGCUGUUCAAAGUCUGAUGCAGUCUGUAGGGUGGUGGACGGGACAGGUAGAUGGUCACCCCCUGGCCUCAGGCACCCCACUCUCUGCAGCUCCUGAAGAAGCUGCCCCUAGGCGAAGCUGGACUGAGCUGUUAGGGGGCUCCGGACAAUUUUUGCAACUUAUCUUAGAGCCUGAAAUUACUUCAGAAUUAACAAUGAAAAAGAAAAAACCCACCUUUAAGAGUUGACAAGAGGGUUAAGUGAGGGAAUGCGGGUGGAAUUCCUCUCCCAGACUGGGAGAGCUCUAGUAGCCACUACAGACAGAUGCCCAUUAGGAAAGGCCAGGCUUUCCCGGCGGCUCGGGAGGCAGACAGGAGCGUUGCAAGUUCAAAGCCAGCCUCAACAACAGCGAGGCACUAAGCAACUGAGACCUUGUCUCUAAAUAAAAUGUCCAAUAGGGCUGGGGAUGUGACUCAGUGGUUGUGUGCCCCUGAGUUCAAUCCCUGGUACCCCCUCCCCCCACCAAAAAAAGAAAAAAAAAAACCUCUAGGCUUUCAUAUUGGUCUAGAAACAUUAAAACAAUUUUUUUUUCCAUUUGUACAGGGAUAAUGCAGUCUACUAAAUAUGUAAUGUCGAUGUGGGUUUGAUUACAGAAGCUGGUGAAGUAUUCUAAUGGUUUUUUAAGAUUCAUUGGCUGAGCUUCUUACCAUUACAACACACAGAGAUUGACAUAUGUAUGACAACGGACUGAUUUCCUUCAAAUAUAAAGAGCACCUACAAAUCAAUGAGACCCACAGGUCAAAUAAAGGUGGACAAAGGACAGAAACAAAUGACUACUAGAAAACGGAUGUUUUAAAAUAUGAAAAGAUCACCACAGGAAAGAACAAUGGAGUCUUACCUAGAGGUGCCACUCGUAAGACUGGCAAAGAUGAUGCCAUUUGGUAACACAUUGUACUGGGAGCAGAACAGAGAAGCAGGCACGCUCUGCACCUCUCUUGGGGGGAGGGUACUUUGAGGGGUUCUCUUUGGGAGGCAGUUUGGUAAUAGUCUUCAGAUUUAUGUGAAUGUGCCUUCUUGCCUGUGGUGCUGGGCUGGGCCCGAGGCAAGCUGUCCCCCUGAGCCACAGCCCAGCCCUUAUUUUUUGAGACAGGAUGUCAUCAAGUUGCCGAGGCUGACCUCGAAACUGCCUCGGCCUGAGUUUUUGGUUUCUAGUUCAUUUUUUAGAAUUGGGCUUCCCAAAGGACGGAGAGAGGGCCGGGGCAGGCAGUCUGGCCCAGCACUGCAAACCUCAAUGCCCAAGCCGCCCCACCAAGGCCUCCCUGGGUCUUAGCUGUUGGGACAGAAACGCAGAGGGCAUGGAUCUUCCCGCCUGGCCCUUGUGAUCCUGUGGACAAGGACAGGCACCAGAGGGGGCGAGCAUGGCGCCAGCAGGGAGCAGCUGGCCUCUGGCCCCUUGCAGGCAGGAGGCUCUUGCCAGGCCCGGCCCCAACUGCCCUGCUGAGGCUGUGGCAGUGGCCCCGCCCUCCCGCUCAGGCCUCAGCAGGCGGCAAGGCUUCCGUGUGGGACUGUUUAAUGAGUCUACUUCUCACACACAUAAUUAUAAAAGAAUAAGAAUCGACAAAAAUAUUUUCUUUCCUUAAUA